This 24-nucleotide unclassified non-coding RNA is filed under the name synthetic construct. The record is from RNAcentral.
GGGACUGACGAUCACGCAGUCUAU